UCUACGGGGGGCAGCAGUGGGGAAUAUUGGACAAUGGGGGCAACCCUGAUCCAGCCAUGCCGCGUGUGUGAAGAAGGCCCUCGGGUUGUAAAGCACUUUCAGUGAGGAAGAACGCCUGGUGGUUAAUACCCAUCAGGAAAGACAUCACUCACAGAAGAAGCACCGGCUAACUCCGUGCCAGCAGCCGCGGUAAUACGGAGGGUGCGAGCGUUAAUCGGAAUUACUGGGCGUAAAGCGCGCGUAGGUGGCUUGAUAAGCCGGUUGUGAAAGCCCCGGGCUCAACCUGGGAACGGCAUCCGGAACUGUCAAGCUAGAGUGCAGGAGAGGAAGGUAGAAUUCCCGGUGUAGCGGUGAAAUGCGUAGAGAUCGGGAGGAAUACCAGUGGCGAAGGCGGCCUUCUGGACUGACACUGACACUGAGGUGCGAAAGCGUGGGUAGCAAACAGGAUUAGAUACCCUGGUAGUC
RNAcentral lists this ribosomal RNA (465 nucleotides) under Vreelandella stevensii. RNAcentral's name for it is "partial 16S ribosomal RNA". It matches the Rfam family "Bacterial small subunit ribosomal RNA", at positions 338 to 795 of the family's 1533-position model. The record is from RNAcentral. Lineage: Bacteria; Pseudomonadati; Pseudomonadota; Gammaproteobacteria; Oceanospirillales; Halomonadaceae.